Molecule: ribosomal RNA, 652 nt
Filed under: Selenomonas sputigena
Lineage: Bacteria; Bacillati; Bacillota; Negativicutes; Selenomonadales; Selenomonadaceae
Description: bacterial SSU rRNA
Rfam family: Bacterial small subunit ribosomal RNA
Source: RNAcentral
AUGGGCGAAAGCCUGAUGGAGCAACGCCGCGUGAGUGAAGAAGGUCUUCGGAUCGUAAAGCUCUGUUGCACGGGACGAAAACUGGGUUUGAAAACAUUGAACCUGGGUGACGGUACCGAGCGAGGAAGCCACGGCUAACUACGUGCCAGCAGCCGCGGUAAUACGUAGGUGGCGAGCGUUGUCCGGAAUUAUUGGGCGUAAAGGGAGCGCAGGCGGACAUAUAAGUCCAUCUUAAAAGUGCGGGGCUCAACCCCGUGAGGGGAUGGAAACUGUAUGCCUUGAGUGCAGGAGAGGAAAGCGGAAUUCCCAGUGUAGCGGUGAAAUGCGUAGAUAUUGGGAGGAACACCAGUGGCGAAGGCGGCUUUCUGGACUGUAACUGACGCUGAGGCUCGAAAGCCAGGGGAGCGAACGGGAUUAGAUACCCCGGUAGUCCUGGCCGUAAACGAUGAAUGCUAGGUGUAGGAGGUAUCGACCCCUCCUGUGCCGGAGUUAACGCAAUAAGCAUUCCGCCUGGGGAGUACGGUCGCAAGACUGAAACUCAAAGGAAUUGACGGGGGCCCGCACAAGCGGUGGAGUAUGUGGUUUAAUUCGACGCAACGCGAAGAACCUUACCAGGGCUUGACAUUGAGUGAAAGAGCUAGAGAUAGCUUCC